MicroRNA precursor from Callithrix jacchus (white-tufted-ear marmoset), 58 nucleotides. Lineage: Eukaryota; Metazoa; Chordata; Mammalia; Primates; Cebidae. The record is from Ensembl.
UCCCUGUCCUCCAGGAGCUCACGUGUGCCUGCCUGUGAGCGCCUCGACGACAGAGCCG